Molecule: long non-coding RNA, 2366 nt
Organism: Lathyrus oleraceus (garden pea)
Lineage: Eukaryota; Viridiplantae; Streptophyta; Magnoliopsida; Fabales; Fabaceae
Exons: 8
Source: RefSeq, a predicted model, not a curated record
AUGCUUGACCUUUAAUCAUUCCUUACAUCCAACGGCUCUCUAAUGUUAGUCCCAUUUGGUUAUGGAUGGUGACAGGACCGUUAAUUUGAGCUGGUACGCAUUCAUCUUGAGAUAAUACUUAGCGGAUGUCGGUUUUGUUGCUAUCACAGUGUGCUGUCACUAAUUCUCAUAUUGAUGUGAAUUGUUCUUCAGGUUGGUAAUUCGGACGGAAGCAAGGCAGUGCAUACUGAUUGAUUGAUCAAGGUGAAAUGUUACCUUUGUGUUGCAGGUCACAAUAUGACUCCCUCCUACCAGGUUCAUGAUGACUUGUGCAUCACACUUCUGAAAUGGUUAUCAAGGUUGUUUCCAUAUCAUGGGAAAAGAAUUCAGUCACGUGUUGCUUAUGCCCAGAUUGGAUCCACUUUGCGGUGCUUUUGGCAAAGUGAUAACUAUCAGAACGUGGAAGUCUUAUGACGGGUGGGAGGAAUUUCUGCCCUGCAAGGUUACCUUCCAUGCAUCAAAUCCGUUUCCUUGAGGUAUCAGUCGGUUAAGAUGCGACUAGAUCCUGUGUUUGCAGGUCAUGGCGUGCUUGCUAAAGGGUAGCAUGUGGCUGUUAUGCUGUUAGCUUUGGUUCUGCAGCCAAGAUUUCUUGCCGUUUAAAGGGAUAGUUUGAUGACAGUUGAUGUUAGCUAGUGAUGUGGUUCUGCAACAGCUUUGGUUGGCAGCGGUAUUGAUGACACAGGUGGUGCAAGUGAGAAAUCUUGACAAGGCUAGUAGCUAUGUUGGACCUUAAAAAUAAAUAACAGAGAUCCUUCUCGUCAAUUGAAGGAAUUUCAAUUUCGUUCCUCUUCUUCUGCAUCACAUUGAACGGCAUCCUUCUUUGUGUGGAUUUCUUGCAAUUUGCUCUUACCAAUGAUUCAACAUGGCUUCAUGGCUAUAUCGCAGAUAUUGCUCAUUAGGCAUUUCAUGCUGGUGGUGCAUUCAAUGGCACGGUAUUGGUGAUUUUACCGACGUAGCCCAUGUCAUGACAGUUUUGGUACGGAUGUGACGAACUUGCACCCUUUCAAUGCAUUGGUUUGCUUUUGAAACGCAGGGAUCAUCACAGUUGUCGAGCCCACUCUCAUGAUUAAUCAUUGCUUACUCCUUUGAAGUCGAGUUUUCUGGAAAUCCGUUCGUAGAAGCCAAGUGUAUCUUGUCUGCUGAAGCAUCACUUUGCAAUUUUCGUUUUCUGGUGCUUAUUUCUUUCUUAGCAUCUGGUGGAUCUUCAAGAGCAUUUUCAGACGAGGGAUUUUAUGUAGUCAUGAGCUUCAGGUUCAGAAGAGUAACCAACAGCUGUAAAGGCUUCCUUAAGAGUGCUUAAAACGACAAACAGUAUCUACUUCCCCUUCCAACUGCUACUUUAAUAAUGCAUUGAGUUAUCAUCAACGUCGUCAUUGAGUAUGUCUUCAUGGCUUAUAGCUUUGUCCUCAGAAAAUGUCUCUGCCAUAUCACACGACUUCCCUAGGAUGCCGACUGUUUGUAUUGAUCUUCCUCUGUUGCUUCACAUGUUAUUUGAUACUGUCGAUCACAUAUUUUGCACACUGUUGCUCAAAUGCUGUUUACAUUCGCUGUUAGUGUAGGCAAACCUUUAUUGUGAAUUUCUGACAGGUUUUGAGUUGGUUUUGGACAGGUUAAGACGUCUUGUACAGGUGGAUGCACAACUUAAUGGGAAUGGACCGGUCAUUGAAGAUCAACAAUUAGAUGCUCUUUUAUUCAAAACUUUAAUCUUUCUUGACUCCAGUAAUGUAACAUGGUGUUUAACACGGUGCAGCAUACUUAGAAUAUUUAACUCACGAAAAAUUAUUACAUGCUUGUAAUUUCACUAGCUGUUCCGUGAUCUUGGGCACUUGUGACUAUUUGAUAGUGAACGCAGGUACAUGAAACAUUGAUACAUGAUAUUCAAGUCUUGGCUUCUGUUUCGAUGAAGCGGCGGUUCACAUGACGGAGACCGAGUUCCAGUCCGCGUCAGCCUGUGCAUAGAAAUACAUUUUUGGAAUUUCUCAAGAACAAGUGUCCUGCUAUUCUGCAUCAACUAGUACAAUCCUGUUUCGUUCUUAGGUGAUUCCUUGGAAUGUCCUGAACCAAGAGAAAAGCAUGAGACUCUCGUGGCCGAUCAACCAAGUUGUUUUAGUCAUGCAUUUUUGUCGGUUUGUAAUGUUUAUGUCUUAGGCUAUGGCUCUCUGUCAUUCAUGAAUCCUGUCAGUGUAACUUGUAGUUUAUGCCCCCUUAUCAAUGGAAUUCAAUAAUUUUCACGCGAAAGAAAAUUGUUUCGUAUUGUCGAACCAAUGGAUUGUAAUUAUUUUUGUCACGAAAUUUAAAUAGGAAAGGACUGCAUUUUUCUUCUUUAA